This 391-nucleotide ribosomal RNA is filed under the name uncultured bacterium. Its description in RNAcentral is "bacterial SSU rRNA". It matches the Rfam family "Bacterial small subunit ribosomal RNA", at positions 28 to 416 of the family's 1533-position model. The record is from RNAcentral.
GAUGAACGCUAGCGGCAGGCCUAACACAUGCAAGUCGAGGGGUAGAGGAAGCUUGCUUCCUUGAGACCGGCGCACGGGUGCGUAACGCGUAUGCAACCUACCUUUUACAGGGGAAUAGCCCAGAGAAAUUUGGAUUAAUGCCCCAUGGUAUAAUCGGAUGGCAUCAUUUGAUUAUUAAAGUUCCAACGGUAAAGAUGGGCAUGCGUCCUAUUAGCUAGAUGGUAAGGUAACGGCUUACCAUGGCUACGAUAGGUAGGGGUCCGUGAGAGGGAGAUCCCCCACACUGGUACUGAGACACGGACCAGACUCCUACGGGAGGCAGCAGUGAGGAAUAUUGGACAAUGGGCGGCAAGACCUCGAUCCAGCAAUAGCCGCGUGAGUGAUGAAGGCC